Non-coding RNA from Myotis davidii, 80 nucleotides. The record is from Rfam. NCBI's taxonomy places the organism in Eukaryota, Metazoa, Chordata, Mammalia, Chiroptera, Vespertilionidae.
GAGACACCCCUCUGGGGCAAGACUUGCUUCAGUGGGGCUUUGGUGCUCACUGAGUCUGCCCCCUCCCUGAGUGUGUCCUU